RNAcentral lists this ribosomal RNA (440 nucleotides) under uncultured bacterium. Its description in RNAcentral is "partial 16S ribosomal RNA". It matches the Rfam family "Bacterial small subunit ribosomal RNA", at positions 338 to 795 of the family's 1533-position model. The record is from RNAcentral.
CCUACGGGCGGCAGCAGUGGGGAAUAUUGCACAAUGGGGGAAACCCUGAUGCAGCGACGCCGCGUGAGCGAAGAAGUAUUUCGGUAUGUAAAGCUCUAUCAGCAGGGAAGAAAAUGACGGUACCUGAGUAAGAAGCUCCGGCUAAAUACGUGCCAGCAGCCGCGGUAAUACGUAUGGAGCAAGCGUUAUCCGGAUUUACUGGGCGUAAAGGGAGCGUAGGCGGCCUGCCAAGUCUGAUGUGAAAUACCGGGGCUCAACCCCGGGGCUGCAUUGGAAACUGGCAGGCUGGAGUGUCGGAGAGGCAGGCGGAAUUCCUAGUGUAGCGGUGAAAUGCGUAGAUAUUAGGAGGAACACCAGUGGCGAAGGCGGCCUGCUGGACGGUGACUGACGCUGAGGCUCGAAAGCGUGGGGAGCAAACAGGAUUAGAUACCCUUGUAGUC